This 429-nucleotide ribosomal RNA is filed under the name Pseudomonadota bacterium. RNAcentral describes it as "Proteobacteria bacterium partial 16S ribosomal RNA". It matches the Rfam family "Bacterial small subunit ribosomal RNA", at positions 355 to 776 of the family's 1533-position model. Lineage: Bacteria; Pseudomonadati; Pseudomonadota. The record is from RNAcentral.
UGGGGAAUAUUGGACAAUGGGCGAAAGCCUGAUCCAGCCAUGCCGCGUGUGUGAAGAAGGUCUUCGGAUUGUAAAGCACUUUAAGUUGGGAGGAAGGGCAGUAAGCGAAUACCUUGCUGUUUUGACGUUACCGACAGAAUAAGCACCGGCUAACUCUGUGCCAGCAGCCGCGGUAAUACAGAGGGUGCAAGCGUUAAUCGGAAUUACUGGGCGUAAAGCGCGCGUAGGUGGUUCGUUAAGUUGAAUGUGAAAGCCCCGGGCUCAACCUGGGAACUGCAUCCAAAACUGGCGAGCUAGAGUAGGGCAGAGGGUGGUGGAAUUUCCUGUAUAGCGGUGAAAUGCGUAGAUAUAGGAAGGAACACCAGUGGCGAAGGCGACCACCUGGGCUCAUACUGACACUGAGGUGCGAAAGCGUGGGGAGCAAACAGG